GUUUUAAGGGGAGCAGCUCAAAGCUUGUUGUUGUGGCAUCUUCAGGAGGCUGAAUUUCCAGGUUUUUCUUCUCUUGAAGCUUGGAGUUGGAGGGAGAUUCUCUUCACCGGCGGAUCCUCGGAGAGAUUAGAGAUCCAUACCGGGCUGUAGUUCGCGGGACUUGGUGAACCCAACUCUGUAGCUCGGAGCCAGGAGAAGAUCAAGUUUAGGUCUGGGGGGUGUCAGAGAGUCGUAUUGUCUGCGUUAUCAGUAUCUUGUUAUUACCUGCUUGUGAGUGUAAGACUUGUAUUCUGAUUGUAUUUGUAAUUUGC
Molecule: long non-coding RNA, 311 nt
Organism: Dioscorea cayenensis subsp. rotundata (Guinea yam)
Lineage: Eukaryota; Viridiplantae; Streptophyta; Magnoliopsida; Dioscoreales; Dioscoreaceae
Exons: 3
Source: RefSeq, a predicted model, not a curated record